GAAGCUGGGGUGCCGUAUCAAAACGGCUGAGAGGGCGAGAAGCCUAACCCAUUGAACCUGUUGGUUAGUACCAUCGUAGGGAAGCUGAU
Molecule: non-coding RNA, 89 nt
Filed under: chicken gut metagenome
Description: TPP riboswitch (THI element)
Rfam family: TPP riboswitch aptamer (THI element)
About the family: Vitamin B(1) in its active form thiamin pyrophosphate (TPP) is an essential coenzyme that is synthesised by coupling of pyrimidine and thiazole moieties in bacteria.
Source: RNAcentral